Molecule: long non-coding RNA, 429 nt
Organism: Homo sapiens (human)
Lineage: Eukaryota; Metazoa; Chordata; Mammalia; Primates; Hominidae
Product: long independently transcribed non-coding RNA 2578
Exons: 4
Source: RefSeq, marked validated
CUGUUGACAUUUUUGUAUUACCAUGACUUCCAAGGAAAGGAGCAGUAUUUCCAGGCAACUUCUGCUAUCCCUGUCUUGGAAUCCAGUCACCAUGUAAAAAAUGCCACUGCCCUGAGACCACCCACCAUGCUGUUAAGAAGCCCAAGCAAGUGAAGUCACCGUAUACUAGAAUGAAUACAGCUUGGAAUUCUGAACGUGUGAUGCUGGAGCCAGGACCAACUGCAAAGAUCCUUUGGCAUUGUGCCGUCGAGGAAACUGAGGUAUGCUGUUCUGAGGUAAAUUUAUAUGCCUCUUCAGAAGUCCUGGUGGGAUUGUGCACCAGCUGUCUGCAGUGAGGGUCAACUCAAUAAUAUGUCUUUACAAUCCCUUUUUCUCUGUCUCUAACUUCCUUCAGUGACCCCCUCACUCUGGCUCUCUGAAUAAAUUCCU